This 401-nucleotide ribosomal RNA is filed under the name uncultured bacterium. RNAcentral describes it as "bacterial SSU rRNA". It matches the Rfam family "Bacterial small subunit ribosomal RNA", at positions 30 to 412 of the family's 1533-position model. The record is from RNAcentral.
AGCGAACGCUGGCGGCGUACUUAACACAUGCAAGUCGAACGAGGAUCAUCGGGUUAGGCAAUAAUUCGGUGGUCCUAGUGGCGCACGGGUGAGUAACACGUGGGUGACCUGCCCUUGAGCUCGGGAUACCCCCGUCGAAAGGGGGCUAAUACCGGAUACGUUCCUCGGUCGAAAGACUGGAGGAGGAAAGGUGGCGCAAGCUGCCGCUCUUGGAGGGGCUCGCGGCCUAUCAGCUAGUUGGCGGGGUAACGGCCCACCAAGGCUAUGACGGGUAGCUGGUCUGAGAGGACGACCAGCCACACGGGGACUGAGACACGGCCCCGACUCCUACGGGAGGCAGCAGUGGGGAAUUUUCCGCAAUGGGCGAAAGCCUGACGGAGUGACGCCGCGUGUGGGACGAA